CCUACGGGGGGCAGCAGUGGGGAAUAUUGCGCAAUGGGGGCAACCCUGACGCAGCAACGCCGCGUGCAGGAAGAAGGUCUUCGGAUUGUAAACUGUUGUCUCAAUUUAAGAAGACAGUGACGGUACCUUGUGAGAAAGUCACGUCUAACUACGUGCCAGCAGCCGCGUUAAUACGUCUGUGACAAGCGUUGUCCGGAUUUACUUGGUGUAAAUUGCGCGUAUGCGGACUGUCAAGUCAUUCUUUACAUCCCGAAGCUUACCUUCUGUGCUGCGAUUGAAACUGACAUCCUUUCUUCUC
This 298-nucleotide ribosomal RNA is filed under the name uncultured bacterium. Its description in RNAcentral is "partial 16S ribosomal RNA". It matches the Rfam family "Bacterial small subunit ribosomal RNA", at positions 338 to 650 of the family's 1533-position model. The record is from RNAcentral.